Molecule: long non-coding RNA, 1293 nt
Organism: Dreissena polymorpha
Lineage: Eukaryota; Metazoa; Mollusca; Bivalvia; Myida; Dreissenidae
Exons: 3
Source: RefSeq, a predicted model, not a curated record
GCCGUGCCUAUCUCUACUGAAUUUGACGUAGACUCCAACUAGCUCGGGCAAAGUACAGAGCAAAGUUUAGAUUUGUUAAAGUUUAUAAAAUAUCGUCGUGUUUGGUUCGGAAGGAUUUGUUUUUAAAGCGUAUAUAUUGCAGACCUGAACAAUGUUUUCGAGUAAAGGUGUUGCAGUCCUUGUAUUUGCGUUGUGUGUGUUCCCAAACUAUGUCAGAGGUUGGAACGUAUGUUACUGGACAUGUGUACCUAUAGUAGGAGCGGGGGAAGUUGGAGCGUUGUAUGCCCUCGGCUUCACAAACGCUGGGAUUCGUGCCGGUUCUUGGGCGGCUAAAUGGAUGGCUGGCUUUAAAGGCUCUGUGCCAAAAGGUGGAUGGUUCUCAUUUUUUCAGUCCAGAGGUACACGUGCGACUUCCGUAUUUGCUUUGGCUUGUGAUAUUUGUGGGUAUAUCUGUGAUGACUAAGAGUCGAGAGCAUGUUCUAUUCUUUUUUAAUAAAUGUGUUUCAUUGUUUUUGUAAUCAAAUCACAACUGGACAUUUAACCAGAAGUACAUAUUUGAUGUCGUUUGAAGUAAGAAAACAGUUAAGUUUUGUAACUUCUCUUUUAUUUUAUCCAGACGUAAUUAUUUUUGUGUGUACUUUCUUCUUAAUAGAAUGCAAUGCUGUUGUUGUAGUUUUGUUGUCGUUUAUUCGCUUUCAAAUUAUUAAUGAAAAGAUUGAUGUGCGUUGACAUUUAAACAAACUCUUGGUGGUGGUGAUAAUUGAUCGUGCUUCCGCAGGUUUAAAAACAAAUGUAAACAAGUGUUUUGUUUGUUGAAAUAUAUUUUUCAAUUUAUAUAAAGAUCUGUUUUCAAUUCAAAACUGGACAGUUCUCAUUGUUAUAUUAACCAUGGAAAAAGGAUUCGUGGGUCAGUAAUAGAGCGUCGAACUCUGGUGCAGAAGAUCUCGUGUUCAAGCCUAGAAAACAGCGGUUCGAAAAUACUGGAAUAAACCCAACAUUUGGCGAAAAAACGGUGUAAUAACAAGGAAACAGACAUCGAGGGGAAUGAAAAUAAGCUUCAGCGUUAUAAUCGUUACAAUAGAAAUGUUCAGCUUUCACGCUUAAGUGGGCAGACUUUAAAUCCCCAAGAUGUCAUGUCUUAAUUGAAAUUGCUAUCAAAAACAAAAUCAUAUUAAUAUUCCAAAGGGACAAGACACAUGAAACAAGUUGUCGGUCAUUCGUGUUUAAUUUACGUCAGUUCCAAUUGAAAAUGUCUGCUUAUUAUAACAGUAUUCCACAUCGCUUUUUGCAUCU